GACGAACGCUGGCGGCGUGCCUAAUACAUGCAAGUCGAACGCUUUUUCUUUCACCGGAGCUUGCUCCACCGAAAGAAAAAGAGUGGCGAACGGGUGAGUAACACGUGGGUAACCUGCCCAUCAGAAGGGGAUAACACUUGGAAACAGGUGCUAAUACCGUAUAACACUAUUUUCCGCAUGGAAGAAAGUUGAAAGGCGCUUUUGCGUCACUGAUUGAUGGACCCGCGGUGCAUUAGCUAGUUGGUGAGGUAACGGCUCACCAAGGCAACGAUGCAUAGCCGACCUGAGAGGGUGAUCGGCCACACUGGGACUGAGACACGGCCCAGACUCCUACGGGAGGUAGCAGUAGGGAAUCUUCGGCAAUGGACGAAAGUCUGACCGAGCAACGCCGCGUGAGUGAAGAAGGUUUUCGGAUCGUAAAACUCUGUUGUUAGAGAAGAACAAGGAUGAGAGCAAAACGUUCAUCCCUUGACGGUAUCUAACCAGAAAGCCACGGCUAACUACGUGCCAGCAGCCGCCGUAA
This 523-nucleotide ribosomal RNA is filed under the name uncultured bacterium. RNAcentral describes it as "partial 16S ribosomal RNA". It matches the Rfam family "Bacterial small subunit ribosomal RNA", at positions 28 to 523 of the family's 1533-position model. The record is from RNAcentral.